CCUACGGGAGGCAGCAGUGGGGAAUUUUGGACAAUGGGCGCAAGCCUGAUCCAGCCAUGCCGCGUGCAGGAUGAAGGCCUUCGGGUUGUAAACUGCUUUUGUACGGAACGAAAAGACUCUGGUUAAUACCUGGGGUCCAUGACGGUACCGUAAGAAUAAGCACCGGCUAGCUACGUGCCAGCAGCCGCGGUAAUACGUAGGGUGCGAGCGUUAAUCGGAAUUACUGGGCGUAAAGCGUGCGCAGGCGGUUAUAUAAGACAGAUGUGAAAUCCCCGGGCUCAACCUGGGAACUGCAUUUGUGACUGUAUAGCUAGAGUACGGCAGAGGGGGAUGGAAUUCCGCGUGUAGCAGUGAAAUGCGUAGAUAUGCGGAGGAACACCGAUGGCGAAGGCAAUCCCCUGGGCCUGUACUGACGCUCAUGCACGAAAGCGUGGGGAGCAAACAGGAUUAGAUACCCUGGUAGUCCACGCCCUAAACGAUGUCAACUGGUUGUUGGGUCUUCACUGACUCAGUAACGAAGCUAACGCGUGAAGUUCGACCGCCGUGGGGUAGGUACGGCCGGCGAGGUUAGUAAACGUACGAAACGAAAGUUAGUACGGCGUGAGACGUAGACCGACGGACGACGACGAGGGGAGGAGGG
RNAcentral lists this ribosomal RNA (640 nucleotides) under uncultured bacterium. Its description in RNAcentral is "bacterial SSU rRNA". The stretch from base 1 to 543 matches the Rfam family "Bacterial small subunit ribosomal RNA", at positions 338 to 873 of the family's 1533-position model. The record is from RNAcentral.